CCAUAUGGAUUGCUUUUGAUAAACGUCAAGCCAAGCACUUGGGUCGAGUGGUGGUUUGCUCUAUCAUUGGUGUUGUGGUGGGCCUUAUCGUAUUUAUCUCAACUACUGUAACUUCCACCAAGGGAUAUGCAGGGGUUGGGAUGAACCCUGCAAGAUGUUUGGGUCCGGCUUUAAUUAGAGGCGGCCACCUUUGGAACGGACACUGGGUUUUUUGGGCUGGACCUGUCGUUGCUUGUGUAGCAUUUGCCCUCUAUACAAAGCUCAUUCCAAGUCAGCUGUUGCAUAAUUGAAUGCCUGAAACAAGGGUGGCAUAAAUAAGUAAUCUUUAAAUGAUGUAAGAACAUGGAUACUUAAUCAGUUUCGGAUGCUU
RNAcentral lists this long non-coding RNA (370 nucleotides) under Gossypium barbadense (sea-island cotton). Its description in RNAcentral is "long non-coding RNA (GBAR_LNC011173)". Lineage: Eukaryota; Viridiplantae; Streptophyta; Magnoliopsida; Malvales; Malvaceae. The record is from RNAcentral.